CCCUUAGAUGUUCUGGGCCGCACGCGUGCUACACUGAGUGGAUCAGCGGGUCAGGUUGCGCGAAAGUGUUUCCUAAUCUUGAAAUCCGCUCGUGAUGGGGAUUGACGGUUGCAAUUUUCCGUCAUGAACGAGGAAUACCUUGUAAGCGCGGGUCAUCAUCCCGCGCUGAAUACGUCCCUGCCCUUUGUACACACCGCCCGUCGCUCCUACCGAUUGAAUGGUCCGGUGAAAUCUUCGGAUUGCUGAUCAAAUUCCAGCAAUGGAGCUUGAUUGCGAGAAGUUGAUUAAACCUUAUUAUUUAGAGGAAGGAGAAGUCGUAACA
This 322-nucleotide ribosomal RNA is filed under the name uncultured eukaryote. RNAcentral's name for it is "partial 18S ribosomal RNA". It matches the Rfam family "Eukaryotic small subunit ribosomal RNA", at positions 1470 to 1796 of the family's 1831-position model. The record is from RNAcentral.